This 300-nucleotide ribosomal RNA is filed under the name uncultured Gammaproteobacteria bacterium. RNAcentral's name for it is "bacterial SSU rRNA". It matches the Rfam family "Bacterial small subunit ribosomal RNA", at positions 114 to 417 of the family's 1533-position model. Lineage: Bacteria; Pseudomonadati; Pseudomonadota; Gammaproteobacteria. The record is from RNAcentral.
CGCGUAGAUAUCUGCCUAGUAGUGGGGGACAACAUGGGGAAACUCAUGCUAAUACCGCAUACGUCCUACGGGAGAAAGCGGGGGAUCUUCGGACCUCGCGCUAUUAGAUGAGUCUGCGUAAGAUUAGCUAGUUGGUGGGGUAAAGGCCUACCAAGGCGACGAUCUUUAGCUGGUCUGAGAGGGCGAUCAGCCACACUGGGACUGAGACACGGCCCAGACUCCUACGGGAGGCAGCAGUGGGGAAUAUUGGACAAUGGGCGCAAGCCUGAUCCAGCCAUGCCGCGUGUGUGAAGAAGGCUC